AUUUUGCGCAAUGGGCGAAAGCCUGACGCAGCAACGCCGCGUGGAGGAUGAAGGUCUUUGGAUUGUAAACUCCUGUCAGCAGGGAAAAAGCGAGCCGGUUUAAUACGCCGGUGAGUUGAUUGUACCUGCAGAGGAAGCCCCGGCUAACUCUGUGCCAGCAGCCGCGGUAAUACAGAGGGGGCGAGCGUUAUUCGGAAUUAUUGGGCGUAAAGGGCGCGUAGGCGGCUUCGCAAGUGGAUGGUGAAAUCCCUCGGCUCAACCGAGGAACUGCCGUCCAAACUGCGUGGCUUGAGUCCGGGAGAGGUGAGUGGAAUUCCCAGUGUAGCGGUGAAAUGCGUAGAUAUUGGGAGGAACACCAGUGGCGAAGGCGGCUCACUGGACCGGAACUGACGCUGAGGCGCGAAAGCGUGGGGAGCAAACGGG
Molecule: ribosomal RNA, 423 nt
Filed under: uncultured bacterium
Lineage: Bacteria
Description: bacterial SSU rRNA
Rfam family: Bacterial small subunit ribosomal RNA
Source: RNAcentral